AGGUCACUGCUAUCGGUGUUCGAUUAAGCCAUGCGAGUCGUGAGGGGUAAAGCCCUCGGCGGAGUGCUCAGUAACACGUGGACAACCUACCCAAGAGUCAGGGAUAACCCCGGGAAACUGGGGAUAAUACCUGAUAGGCCAUGACAUCUGGAAUCGAGUUGUGGUUUAAACGUAAGGCUCUUGGAUGGGUCUGCGGCGGAUUAGGUUGUUGCCGGUGUAACGUACCAGCAAGCCUGUAAUCCGUACGGGUUGUGGGAGCAAGAGCCCGGAGAUGGAUUCUGAGACACGAAUCCAGGCCCUACGGGGCGCAGCAGGCGCGAAAACUCUACAAUGCAGGCAACUGCGAUAGGGGAACAUCGAGUGGCAUCCACCAUGGAUGUCUGUCCAAUCGUCUAAGAAACGACUGUCAGCAAGGGCCGGGCAAGACCGGUGCCAGCCGCCGCGGUAAUACCGGCGGCUCGAGCGGUGGCCGAUAUUAUUGAGUCUAAAGGGUCCGUAGCCGGCUUUGCAAGUCCUAUGGGAAAUCCAGCGGCUUAACCGUUGGGCUUUCAUGGGAUACUACAUUGCUUGGGACUGGGAGAGGUAGGAGGUACUCAGGGGGUAGGGGUGGAAUCCUGUAAUCCUUUGGGGACCACCGGUGGCGAAGGCGUCCUACCAGAACAGGUCCGACGGUGAGGGACGAAAGCUAGGGGCACGAACCGGAUUAGAUACCCGGGUAGUCCUAGCCGUAAACGAUGCUCGCUAGGUGUCACGGCAGUCGUGAAUUGUCGUGGUGCCGUAGGGAAGCCGUGAAGCGAGCCACUUGGGAAGUACGACCGCAAGGUUGAAACUUAA
This 834-nucleotide ribosomal RNA is filed under the name uncultured soil archaeon. RNAcentral's name for it is "bacterial SSU rRNA". It matches the Rfam family "Archaeal small subunit ribosomal RNA", at positions 21 to 859 of the family's 1478-position model. The record is from RNAcentral.